UACGGGGGGGGCAAGCGUUGUUCGGAAUUCCUGGGCGUAAAGGGUUUGUAGGUGGCUUGCUAAGUCAGACGUGAAAUCCCUCAGCUUAACUGGGGAACUGCGUCUGAGACUGGCAAGCUUGAGUGCAGGAGAGGAACGCGGAAUUCCAGGUGUAGCGGUGAAAUGCGUAGAUAUCUGGAGGAACACCGGUGGCGAAGGCGGCGUUCUGGACUGUAACUGACACUGAUGAACGAAAGCCAGGGGAGCAAACGGG
Molecule: ribosomal RNA, 253 nt
Filed under: uncultured bacterium
Lineage: Bacteria
Description: partial 16S ribosomal RNA
Rfam family: Bacterial small subunit ribosomal RNA
Source: RNAcentral